This 215-nucleotide long non-coding RNA is filed under the name Elaeis guineensis (African oil palm). Its description in RNAcentral is "long non-coding RNA (EGUI_LNC080492)". Lineage: Eukaryota; Viridiplantae; Streptophyta; Magnoliopsida; Arecales; Arecaceae. The record is from RNAcentral.
CCCGCCGCCUUCUUUGCGCCCGCACCUCUGUGCGACCACCUUCUCUUACCUUUCCGUUUCUCUCCGCACGACUUGUCUUCCCACCUCUGCGCACGACCUCCUCCUUUCCGUUUCUGCCUCUUUCCCAUUCCUUUCCAUUUCCGCCCGCACGACCGCCUCCUCUGCCUCUCCGUCGUCCGAUCUCCAGCACCGCUUAAAGCUUCUUCUCCAGAAUC